This 1362-nucleotide ribosomal RNA is filed under the name metagenome. RNAcentral describes it as "bacterial LSU rRNA". It matches the Rfam family "Bacterial large subunit ribosomal RNA", at positions 1562 to 2925 of the family's 2925-position model. The record is from RNAcentral.
UCUGUUCACAGUUUCAUAGUGUCAUUUAACUGUGUGUCAAACUUCCUAGAAAAGCUCGAACUACGUUAAAUCAAUGAAUACCUGUACCUUAAACCGACACAGGUAGGUGGGUAGAGUAUACCUAGGGGCUCGAGAUAACUCUCUCUAAGGAACUCGGCAAAAUGGCCCCGUAACUUCGGGAGAAGGGGUACCUAGCGUGUCAAAAACGCUGGGUCGCAGUGACCAGGCCCAGGCGACUGUUUACCAAAAACACAGGUCUCCGCUAAGUCGUAAGACAAUAUAUGGGGGCUGACGCCUGCCCAGUGCCGGAAGGUGAAGGAAGUCGGUUAUUCUUCGGAAGAAGCUGACAACCGAAGCCCCGGUGAACGGCGGCCGUAACUAUAACGGUCCUAAGGUAGCGAAAUUCCUUGUCGGGUAAGUUCCGACCCGCACGAAAGGCGUAACGAUCUGGGCACUGUCUCGGAGAGAGACUCGGUGAAAUAGACAUGUCUGUGAAGAUGCGGACUUCCUACACCUGGACAGAAAGACCCUAUGAAGCUUGACUGUAGCCUGGAAUUGGGUUUGGGCUCUUCUUGCGCAGCCUAGGUGGUAGGCGAUGAUCAGUUCCUUCCGGGGAACUGUGAGCCAUCAGUGAGAGACCACUCUGGAAGAGCUAGAAUUCUAAUGGCGAUCCUUGAAUAAGGACGCUUGACAGUUUCAGGUGGGCAGUUUUUCUGGGGCGGAAACCUCCCAAAAGGUAACGGAGGCGUGCAAAGGUUCCCUCAGUCUGGACGGAAAUCAGACGAAGAGUGUAAAGGCAGAAGGGAGCUUGACUGCAAGACCUACAAGUCGAGCAGGGGCGAAAGCCGGCCUUAGUGAUCCGACGGUACCGAGUGGAAGGGCCGUCGCUCAACGGAUAAAAGUUACUCUAGGAUAACAGGCUGAUCUUCCCCAAGAGUCCACAUCGACGGGAAGGUUUGGCACCUCGAUGUCGGCUCAUCGCAACCUGGGGCGGUAGGACGUCCCAAGGGUUGGGCUGUUCGCCCAUGAAAGCGGUACGUGAGCUGGGUUCAGAACGUCGUGAGACAGUUCGGUCCAUAUCCGGUGUAGGCGUUAGAGCAUUGAGAGGAGCUUUCCAUUGUACGAGAGGACCUGGAAGGACGCACCUCUAGUAUACCAGUUCUCGUGCCAACGGGAUACGCUGGGUAGCCAAGUGCGGAGCGGAUAACUGCUGAAAGCAUCUAAGUAGGAAGCCCACCUCAAGAUGAGUGCUCUCGUACACACCCUGGUGUGUCAGAGGUCACGGCAAGACAAGCCGUUUGAUAGGUGUCAGGUGCAAGGCCAGCAAUGGUUGCAGCCGAGACACACUAAUAGACCGACUGA